GAUGAACGCUGGCGGCGUGCUUAACACAUGCAAGUCGAACGAGAAGUGAAGACGGAAACCUUCGGGCGGAAGGCUUUAUUUCGAGUGGCGGACGGGUGAGUAACGCGUGGGUAACCUGCCUCAUACAGGGGGAUAACAGUUGGAAACGACUGUUAAUACCGCAUAAGACUACAGUACCGCAUGCUGCGGGGGUCAAAAAUCCGGUGGUAUGAGAUGGACCGGCGUUCGAUUAGCCAGUUGGCGGGGUAACGGCUCACCAAAGCGACGAUCGGUAGCUGACCUGGGAGGAUGACCGGCCACAUGGGGACGAGGAAACGGCCAAAACUCCUACGGGAGGCGGCAGAGGGGAAUAUUGCCAAAUGGGGGAAACCCUGAUGCAGCGACGCCGGGUAAGUGAAGAAGUAUUUGGGUAUGUAAAGCUCGAUCAGCAGGGAAGAAAAUGACGGUACCUGAGGAAGAAGCCCCGGCUAACUACGUG
Molecule: ribosomal RNA, 478 nt
Filed under: uncultured bacterium
Lineage: Bacteria
Description: partial 16S ribosomal RNA
Rfam family: Bacterial small subunit ribosomal RNA
Source: RNAcentral